Molecule: transfer RNA, 70 nt
Filed under: Equus caballus (horse)
Lineage: Eukaryota; Metazoa; Chordata; Mammalia; Perissodactyla; Equidae
Description: tRNA-His
Rfam family: tRNA
About the family: Transfer RNA (tRNA) molecules are approximately 80 nucleotides in length.
Source: RNAcentral
UGUAAAUAUAGUUUAACAAAAACACUAGAUUGUGGAUCUAGAAACAGAAACUUAAUAUUUCUUAUUUACC